RNAcentral lists this ribosomal RNA (255 nucleotides) under uncultured bacterium. RNAcentral describes it as "partial 16S ribosomal RNA". It matches the Rfam family "Bacterial small subunit ribosomal RNA", at positions 524 to 777 of the family's 1533-position model. The record is from RNAcentral.
UACGAAGGGGGGCUAGCGUUGCUCGGAAUCACUGGGCGUAAAGGGUGCGUAGGCGGGUCUUUAAGUCAGGGGUGAAAUCCUGGAGCUCAACUCCAGAACUGCCUUUGAUACUGAGGAUCUUGAGUUCGGGAGAGGUGAGUGGAACUGCGAGUGUAGAGGUGAAAUUCGUAGAUAUUCGCAAGAACACCAGUGGCGAAGGCGGCUCACUGGCCCGAUACUGACGCUGAGGCACGAAAGCGUGGGGAGCAAACAGGG